Anguilla anguilla (European eel) is the source of this 415-nucleotide long non-coding RNA. RefSeq lists it as uncharacterized. NCBI's taxonomy places the organism in Eukaryota, Metazoa, Chordata, Actinopteri, Anguilliformes, Anguillidae. The record is from RefSeq and is a predicted model, not a curated record. The transcript is spliced from 3 exons.
AAGGUCCAAAACAGAAACGGAAGCUUAACGGCCAUUUUAAAAAUGGAGGAGAAAGAAAUCCUAGGAAAGAAGGAAUAAAAUGAAAUGUAAAAAACGGAGUAAACAGUCUGUUGUGGAGUGGAACUGAGUUGCUGUGUUUCAAGCUGCUUAUAUAUCGGGUGAACGGACAAGGAAGAACGCAGGCACCUAUUACGCGAAAAAGCGUCCAUCUACAGAGAAAGACAAAGAACUGACGAACGAAAUGAAAAUGGUUGCUGACCUUUGAAAAUCAGGCAAUGGAUCAAAAAAUAAACUGAAGAUGCUAGUUACUACUGUGAGGGCAAUAAUGAAGAAGUUUAAAACUGCUGGAGGGCAGCAUGGUGGUGUGUGUGGAGUUUGCAUAUUCUCAUCCCAUGUCUGCAUGGGUUUCCUCCCA